GCCAGAGAGCAUCGUAAACACAGCAAACCUGAUGCGCCUCUUAACACAAAGCUCUGAUGAAUCAGGUGAUGAUCAGCGGCGUCGUCCUGCGUCUAAGAGAUCGAGAGAGGCCCCAGAAGCGACGGACUUUGAAAGAUUUAAAGUCCAAUUCCCAGUCACCCUUGAUGGGAAGCCACCAAAUAAAAUACAAAGAACUGCAGGCGGCUUCAGCGGCUACAGGGCCCUGUACGACAAGUGGAGAGCUCUGCAGUUCAAGAUGAGGGAGAAACACCUUCUUGGUAAGUGGACUGCAGUCAUUUAUGUGUGAUCAUUAGCUACACUUUUUGAAAGAAUAUUAACCCAUUCAAUUUGUAUUUGAUCUCUUUGUAGCCAAAUGGUCCAGGCGCCCCCCUACCCUCCAAAAAAUCCAGACCAUCAUCGAAAGGGAGCAGUGGCAAACCAACUGCCCAACACCUCAGGUCAUCAUGACAAAGUGGAGUCCACCUUAGAAGGAGUAAGUGGAGUUGAGCCAUCUGCUGAUGAAGCUGGUCCGCAGUCAGAAGUGGAAGCAUCUGGCUGUGGUCGAGCAGUCGCCAAAGGCUGGCGAGGGGA
Long non-coding RNA from Melanotaenia boesemani (Boeseman's rainbowfish), 591 nucleotides. RefSeq lists it as uncharacterized. The transcript has 2 exons. NCBI's taxonomy places the organism in Eukaryota, Metazoa, Chordata, Actinopteri, Atheriniformes, Melanotaeniidae. The record is from RefSeq and is a predicted model, not a curated record.